GCUUGUAACAUCCUUCCUGAGAAGGCUCUGCUUGACCCCCAUACCACCGUUUCUUCCCAUUUUCUAGCCUGAAGUUAACCUCCUGCAAUAAGGGGCAGUCAUAUUAUGGUGUUCCUUUUCCCCUGAUAGUGUAUACAUAGCUCCCUGUUCAGAUACUCUUUGCCAUCCUUUUACCAUCCCUACGCUGAUGCUUCCCCAAGAUACAGCACUGGUUCCUUCCUUCCUGAAGCUGCCCAGCCUGGCAAGAAGACUGAUGGUGACAAGAAAAUGAACUUGGGAAUAAAGGAGGUGAAGAUAAAAUUGUUUCAAGAAAGUAAAGUGAGCUGCAGAAACACAUAUUUCAUGAAUUUAACUUAAGCAGGAAGACUUCAAGACAAGGGUUUGAAAUUCAGGGUAUGAGAUGGCAGAUGCAGAAAUCUCAACUCUUUCACCAUAGUUUCCAGAAGGUGAAAGAAUGACCUAUCACCUUCCAGCAUUAUGAUAGCUGACUAAUAGUGGCGAAGCUUCCAGAUGUGUAUUAUUUUUGAUAAGAUGAACAUUUAAGAUAGACUGACCAUACAUAUCCUAAGGCACUUCUACCAUACAGCUCCCUACCCACCCAACCAGACUGUGAAAGGUUCCAAGCUCCUAGUGAUAGGAUCAGUUUCUGGUGCCUCAUUGGGUAUAAGUGCUUGUUAUACAGACCUGACAACUUGAGUUGGAGCGACAGAAACAUACAAAGCUUUCAUUUGGAGGUCACAGAUCCAGUGUCAGGUGCUGCCAUGGGUUUCUUCUCUGGUGAGCAUCUCACUAUGAGAGUGGAGAAAGGUAUAGCAAUCAGCCAAUCAAGAAGCCAGAGGGACAUGUGGACAGACUUCUUUUUAAAUAACCAUGGUAUAUCAAGAGCUGCACUCCUGCUGCUGAUCAGAGUACCCUGUGAUCUGAGCACCUAGCACUAGCUUUCACAAUGAGUAUGUGUGUGAGCUUGUAAAUGCAUGCACUAAUUUAUUGAUUGGUCCCUAAAUUUUGAAACUUAAUUCAUAUCCCUUUCUGCUGCCUCAUUUUUCCAAUGUGCAGUCUCUCCCAGGAUACCCCCUGGCUACAUUGAGCAGAGACCCAUACAAGUUAUUUUCAUUCUCCUUUCCACCUUCCAAUUCCAACUCCCUGUUCUUAACCCCAGUUUGAUAGUGAUCACCCGCUGCUGCCUCUCUUUCCUUCUGCCCCUAUUGCAGGCAACGAAGCAGAUCCUCUCCUAUUCUUAUCCCAUUCCUUUGUCUCACCCACAAACACCAUAGAUAUUCUCUCCCUAGAAAACCUGAGGCCAAGUCCAAUGGAAAAUAAGACCCUAACAUACCAGGCAGGUACAUCCCAUUUCCACCAUGAUUAAGAGUCUCUAUGAAAUCAAUAAUGAUGUCUUCCUCAGUGUCCCAAGUACCUGGGACAAAAUGGAAUUUCAGAUGUUGUGAAGGUGACACUGACUCCUGAGGAAGAGGCCUGCCUGAAGAAGAGUGCAGACUCCCUCUGGGGAAUCCAAAAGGAGCUGCAGUUCUAAAGUUUGCUCAGUGUCCUAGCACUUCACUGUCCAGGCUGCAGCAAGGGUUCUAUGGAGACCACACACGUUCCUUCUCAUCUGAGCUGUGGUUGGUACAAUUGUGCUAAGCAUUAGAAACAUACACUAUGCACUGGGAACAGAGACAAGAACACAGUGUCUGUGGAAGGCCAGCCUCCUAGCCUGAAAAGGUAGACAGCUGUUACCAUUCCAGACUCCUCUGGCUCCUGGAAACAAAGUGAAAUGAAGCUGUUUGCAGCUGCAGGAAUCAGCACUGCCAUCUGCUUGGCUCCCCAGAAGCUCCCGGCCAAGGACUUUGUAUCCAACUGUUUCACAGCAGAUCAGGCAGUUUUCUGUGGGGAAACGCUUUGAAGGUCACCCCUCAUCAUCUCCAGAAGGCCAUUUCCAGAAAGAAGCACACGGCAGUCCUGACCCUUAGCAAUCUAUCUCUGCU
Molecule: long non-coding RNA, 1982 nt
Organism: Mus musculus (house mouse)
Lineage: Eukaryota; Metazoa; Chordata; Mammalia; Rodentia; Muridae
Product: predicted gene, 31711
Exons: 9
Source: RefSeq, a predicted model, not a curated record